GCGUGCGUGAUGAAGGUCUUAGGACUGUAAAGCGCUUUCACCCGUGACGAUGAUGACGGUAGCGGGAGAAGAAGCCCCGGCUAACUCCGUGCCAGCAGCCGCGGUAAUACGGAGGGGGCAAGCGUUGUUCGGAAUUACUGGGCGUAAAGGGCGCGUAGGCGGCGCUGCAAGUUAGAUGUGAAAGCCCCGGGCUCAACCUGGGAGGUGCAUUUGAUACUGCGGUGCUUGAAUCCGGAAGGGGGUAGUGGAAUUCCCAGUGUAGAGGUGAAAUUCGU
This 275-nucleotide ribosomal RNA is filed under the name uncultured bacterium. RNAcentral describes it as "partial 16S ribosomal RNA". It matches the Rfam family "Bacterial small subunit ribosomal RNA", at positions 399 to 691 of the family's 1533-position model. The record is from RNAcentral.